Molecule: long non-coding RNA, 594 nt
Filed under: Homo sapiens (human)
Lineage: Eukaryota; Metazoa; Chordata; Mammalia; Primates; Hominidae
Description: HSALNT0361168
Source: RNAcentral
UGUGACAAGUUCUGACUGUGCCAGGGUACAGACUCUUAAUUCCUUCUGGAAUACUGAGAGUGCCGGGAAAUGACAGCUUAAUGUUCAGGGUACGUCUUAGUUUGUCUUGGAUCUUGUGACAGGGACAGCUGCAUUAGUCUUGGAGUGAAAGUGUAUCUGAGUAUGUUGGGCCACAUUUGCAGUAGUUUGUUCUGAACUCCAGAGCUAUUGACCAAGCCCGUCCUGCCUUCUGAGGUAUGGAAGACACUGAGGCCUCCUGACCCACGGCACAGCAUUCUCUGCUUCCAGCGCGUCUGCCUUGGGCCAUCACCCCAGAGAGUUUGAUCAAGACUCAGCCCGCCUGCACCCAGGUGAAAUAAACAGCCUUGUUGCUCACACAAAGCCUGUUUGGUGGGCUCUUCACACGGACGGGAGUGAAAUUUUGGUGCCGUGACUCGGAUCGGGGGACCUCCCUUGGGAGAUCAAUCCCCUGUCCUCCUGCACUUUGCUCCAUGAGAAAGAUCCACCUACGACCUUGGGUCCUCAGACCGACCGGCCCGAGGAACAACUCACCAAUUUUAAAUCGGGACCCCACUGGAAAUCGGACUGUCCAAC